AUUUUCCACCCUUUAUAUUUGGUAUUUUUCUGAAUGUACAUUGGACGGAUUAUUGUGACAGGAAAGUAGUAGUUCCACGCUUUGAAAUGAGCCCCAUUGGUCUUAUUCGGUCAUUUUUGUUUGUUUAAAUGUGUUCGCAUCUUCCAGCUGUAACGCCCAAAAGUCAUGCUUUCGUUUUUGGGGUACAUUAUUAUUUUAAAUACCAUUUUUACUUACAUAUGUUAUAUACAUCAACUAUGAAUUAUUUAAAUGUAUUUGAAUAUUAACGGUCACACAGGUCCCCUAGUAAAAAGAGGUAUAAUUAAAAUACAACAUUGGAACCCCUGGUGGCAAAUGACGGAACUACGCAAAACUGUCAGAUUGGGAUCAGCUGCUGUCAUGAGAAAACAACAAUCGUCGACCAGCCAAAAAGGUAUAAAAGGAGACGCAUUUCACACAAUCGAGACUGCCCUUUUUUACAUUGAUUUUUUUGGGGUUUUCUGAAUUUUGAAUUUUGUAUUUAAUUAUUUGUAUAAUUGCCGCUGGCAGAAUUCUGCAGCGUUUUAAUAUAUUUGUAGUAGAUAGCGAAUAGCCAUAUGUUUAUUUUAUUCCUAAUUUAGCAGUAAGUUAUGCUGUUUAGAUUUUAAGUAUUUUAUCAAUAAAUAUGGCCUUAGGCAAAAACGAAACGAAACACAAUCGAGAUCAGUCUUCUGUUGAUGGUUGGUAAGUCAAGAGUUAUUGGGAGGAAGAAAAGGCGCGCAACCUUGGUUGAAUUGAGUCUUAGUAAGCCAAACAAUAAGCCUUGACUAUUUGUGGUGACUGGACUGGACUGAACGCAGGGUCAAGUGAGGGUUGUAGCAAUACUCCCUAUUCUUGGGGCUGCGUUGACGGCGACUGAACGCAGGGUCAAGUGAGGGCUGUAGCAAUACUCCCUAUUCUUCGGGCUGCGUUGACGGCGACUGACGUACUCAGCGGGCUGCUGCUGUGCCAAAGCUGCCGCCACCCUAUUCGUCGUUCGCCUCUCCAUCGGGCCGCCGCUGUGCCAAGCUGCCGCCACUACUACUCGCCGCUGACGUAUUCAUCGGGCCGCCGUUGUACCAAAGCUGCCGCCACUACUAUUCGUCACCUGCGUAUUCAUCGGGCCGCCGCUGUGCCAAGCUGCCGCCACUACUACUCGCCGCUGACGUAUUCAUCGGGCCGCCGCUGUGCCAAAGCUGCCGCACUACUAUUCGUCAUAUUCGUCACCUGCGUAUUCAUUUAACAUUUCGACUGAACUUUGUGAUUUAGUGUUCUUCGUAAAAAGUUCUGAACGUGAUUUUAUUGUGUUUAGUGUAGUAUUUAGUGUUAUGUAAGGAAAUAAAUUUAAAACGUUUUAAGAAAACAUUUUUGCUUCGCUCUCUCUCUCUUUAUGUCCUAACAAAUAAAUUCUUGUGACGACUCUGGCCCCCGCUGAACCUGCCCCAGCUUCAAAGUGAAAACACGUCGUCACAAUGGCGCCCGAGCAGGGACAUGAAGGAGAGAAAGAAUAAAUAAAUGAGUGAACAAUAAUUAGACAAAUACGGAUGAAAACCCAGUAAAAAAAAAACGAAAAAAAAAACUGAAACAAGUGAGAAUAAUAAAAAAUGUCAAACGAAAAGACAAUGUUGAAGGUCUCCUGGGCCUACAUGCUAAAACAAAAAGACUUGGUAACAUAUCUUACUGAAUUCAAUCUUGAUCCAGUUGGAAAAGUGGACGAUCUCCGAAAAAGAUGGGCUAAAUUUCUCCACGACGACCAUGAAGCCGAUGUAUACAGACGGCUUAUAGAGUUGCAAAACAGACAUGAAAGUACCAGUCCGACCAAAUCGCCGACAUUGCGAGCCGUCACAAAACAACCCCUUAUAACCGUAACACCGUGUGGAGCAGAAGCAAUAGUAUUAUCCCCAAUAAAAACAGAGUACGCCCUUCCCCACACUUCCGCGGAAAAGGUCACAUGGAGAGCCAAGCACAGGGGUAACAAACGGUCAAAAAGUACAGAAGUUGUCGCCAACAAACCCCGAAUAUGGAUUUCAAAAAAAUUCUCCGCCCAAGUCAUCCAAUAAUUCGUCGUUAAUCGUAAUUCUCGACCAAAUCCGAAAAUGGAAUAUUACUUUUGAAAAGGGAAUGGACCCUAUUGGAUUCGUAGAACGUGUAGAAGAAAUGGCUGAAAUGUACAUCGUGGAAUUGAAUCAAAUAACUAAAGUAAUGCCAGAGUUGUUACGAGGUAAAGCUUUAAUCUGGUUAAGGAACAACAAUCGACACUGGACUACCUGGAGCAAAUUUAAGAGCGAUUUUCUGAAAUUCUUUUGCCCCUGAGAUACUUUGAUAAAUUGGAGGAUGAAAUUAGGAGAAGGAUUCAGCGUAAUAAGGAGCCGUUUAAGGAAUAUGUACUCUCUAUACAGCAUCUUAUGCAGCACACCAAUAUGACCGAAGAACAAAAAUUGGAACGAAUUUUUAGAAACGCGCAGUCGGAUUAUCAAUGGUACAUUCGCCGUAAAGACUUUACCACACUUUCGGAAUUGAUCUCCUUGGCAGACGAACUAGAAAGCAUACCAAAUAAUUCUCGGUCAGAACAGCCGCGACAUCAACAAAACUAUAAUCGACAUGCAGAUAACUCUAGAAAUAACCUGUAUUGCACCAAUCAAGGUGACCAAGUGCUAAACGAAAGCCCAUCCAAUACGGAAACGCAGCAGGACGAACCCCCGGCAAAGAAGAGUAACCAGAAUAUUACAUCAUUGCAAUGUUAAGAAUAUCGCCUUACUGCAACUGUCUUAAUAGAGGGGAAAGCUAUUAAAGCAACUGUCGACACUGGUGCCACUAGCUGUUUUAUAAAAAGAGAGUUUGCUGAAAAGAUCAAGAAAAGGUUUACUUAUUCACGAUAUGAGGCAAAUGUUAUCCUCGCAGACGGCACCGCGGUAAACAUCACAAGAUCAACGGUGUUACCUGUUACAUUUGGAAGCCAAAGCUCAGAUGUUACAUUUCUCAUCAUGCCACAAUUCAAGGAAAACAUCAUAUUGGGAUUGGAAUUUCUAAAACAGUUCCACACGACCAUUCACUGCGCCGGUAUAAGCGUCAAAUUAAGUAAGCCAACCACAUCAACGGAGCGUUGUACCGUGGCUAUAGGAGAGGAAACCCCAUCAAAAGAAGUAAUAGAUACAAUGACAGCUACGAAUAAUGUAUCCCCCAACGUGAAGGAAGAUAAAUCAUUACCAGGAACGCCGGGACACGUUGUCAAACUAUCAUCAACAUCGCUAUCUUCCCGAUCGUCGUCGUCAUCCUCAUCAGCCUGGUCGUCUUCAUCGUCAUCCUCAUCAGCCUUGUCGUCUUCAUCAUCAUCCACAAGCCAAACGAUGACACCUCAUCAGCCAACAUUGUGUAGCAGUCAACCUUCCAUCGAUGAAGUGUUUAUACCCAGUAAGGAGAAUAAUAGCACACCAAGUACGCUCAAAUUGCCAGUCACUGAAAUCCCAACUGAGACAACGCCAUCGUCCUCGACAGACAAUCCCGGGAACGAUAACACAUUUCUCGAACUGCCAAAUUAUCCCGAAAACCUACAAAGCCGUAUCGAGAAGUUUAAAAACAAUUGGAAAAGGGGACACAAACUGAAGCGAAUGGUUAAACAAGAUGGCAAGCAGUACCGCAUAAUAAUAUCAGCAGACGGGGUAGUGAAGGUAUCUCUCCGAACUUCUGCAAUUGGUCUCUAACAUACCUUUAUAUUCGACCGAGAUAUAGUCGAACCAAAGUGCCCAUGUCGGAGAAAUAAAAGGUUACAUAACACCCUAGGGCUUCCUGGCUAUUGAAACCCAAUACCAAUAGAGAAAGCAAAUCAAGGAAAUCAAAAAUCAGAGGGAGGAAGAGAGGCCAUGUAACGCCCAAAAGUCAUGCUUUCGUUUUUGGGGUACAUUAUUAUUUUAAAUACCAUUUUUACUUACUUAUGUUAUAUACAUCAACUAUGAAUUAUUUAAAUGUAUUUGAAUAUUAACGGUCACACAGGUCCCCUAGUAAAAAGAGGUAUAAUUAAAAUACAACAUUGGAACCCCUGGUGGCAAAUGGCGGAACUACGCAAAACUGUCAGAUUGGGAUCAGCUGCUGUCAUGAGAAAACAACAAUCGUUGACCAGCCAAAAAGGAAUAAAAGGAGACGCAUUUCACACAAUCGAGAUCAGUCUUCUAUUGAUGGCUGGUAAGUCAAGAGUGAUUGGGAGGAAGAAAAGGCGCGCAACCUUGGUUGAAUUGAGUCUUAGUAAGCCAAACAAUAAGCCUUGACUAUUUGUGGUGACUGGACUGGACUGAAUGCAGGGUCAAGUGAGGGUUGUAGCAAUACUCCCUAUUCUUCGGGCUGCGUUGACGGCGACUGAAUGCAGGGUCAAGUGAGGGUUGUAGCAAUACUCCCUAUUCUUCGGGCUGCGUUGACGGCGACUGAACGCAGGGUCAAGUGAGGGUUGUAGCAAUACUCCCUAUUCUUCGGGCUGCGUUGACGGCGACUGAACGCAGGGUCAAGUGAGGGUUGUAGCAAUACUCCCUAUUCUUCGGGCUGCGUUGACGGCGACUGAACGCAGGGUCAAGUGAGGGUUGUAGCAAUACUCCCUAUUCUUCGGGCUGCGUUGACGGCGACUGAACGCAGGGUCAAGUGAGGGCUGUAGCAAUACUCCCUAUUCUUCGGGCUGCGUUGACGGCGACUGACGUACUCAGCGGGCUGCUGCUGUGCCAAAGCUGCCGCCACCCUAUUCGUCGUUCGCGUAUUCAUCGGGCCGCCGCUGUGCCACUCUAUUCGCCGCUGACGUAUUCAUCGGGCCGCCGCUGUGCCAAAGCUGCCGCCACUACUAUUCGUCACCUGCGUAUUCAUCGGGCCGCCGCUGUGCCAAAGCCGCCGCCACCCUAUUCGUCGUUCGCCUCUCCAUCGGGCCGCCGCUGUGCCAAGCUGCCGCCACUACUACUCGCCGCUGACGUAUUCAUCGGGCCGCCGCUGUGCCAAAGCUGCCGCCACUACUAUUCGUCACCUGCGUAUUCAUCGGGCCGCCGCUGUGCCAAAGCCGCCGCCACCCUAUUCGUCGUUCGCCUCUCCAUCGGGCUGCCGCUGUGCCAAGCUGCCGCCACUACUAUUCGUCGUUCGCCUCUUCAUCGGGCCGCCGCUGUGCCAAAGCUGCCGCCACUACUAUUCGUCACCUGCGUAUUCAUCGGGCCGCCGCUGUGCCAAAGCCGCCGCCACCCUAUUCGUCGUUCGCCUCUCCAUCGGGCCGCCGCUGUGCCAAGCUGCCGCCACUACUACUCGCCGCUGACGUAUUCAUCGGGCCGCCGCUGUGCCAAGCUGCCACUGCUACCCGCUUACUAACAUUUUGACUGAACUUUGUGAUUUAGUGUUCUUCGUAAAAAGUUCUGAACGUGAUUUUAUUGUGUUUAGUGUAGUAUUUAGUGUUAUGUAGGGAAAUAAAUUUAUAACGUUUUAAGAAAACAUUUUUGCUUCGCUCUCUCUCUCUUUAUGUCCUAACAAAUAAAUUUUUGUGACGACUCUGGCCCCCGCUGAACCUGCCCCAGCUUCAAAGUGAAAACACGUCGUCAUACAGCUGAACCACGAUGUAGGCCCUAGAGUUGAAAGGGGUAGCGAAGCGCACCGGGUUCAGCUAGUAUUGUUAUAAAAAUCGGAGUUCUGCAUCGAAACAAUCAAUUUAGUGACGAUGAGCUAAGUCAAAUACAAACAUUCAAAAAGAAAUUCCAGAAUACUCAAUUGUCCAUAAUUUCGUUCUAUGAGGUGGAUUAAAGCUUUGACCUGCCAUAUUUGCAAAAGUCCAUAACUGAAUCACGGGAAUCACUAAAGCUAGUAGUGAAUAGACACUUAACUGAGAAGUCAUUGCUUCGAAUUGAUGAAGUAUCCGACUUUUUCGUUGAUGCACAUUUAGAUACUAGAUACUGCAUUUAAACCAGACUCACCAUAUAUCGUCCAUAAUAUUAUAACACCAUGUAUAUUAUAUGUAUUUUUUGUUUAUUGAAAUACAACUAAAAAUUUCCUUAUAUAGAAAAUAUAAUAUUGUAAAAUAAGCGGCAAUUAUUGAUUAAUUUAUCAUUCAUUACGGAGUUGCAUUGAACCAGCUAUGUCAAUAGACGGAAACAAUAAAGUUGAGAAAUAAUUGCUCCGCUCAUAUAAAGCUUCAUUACUACAAAAAUUAAAAGUAUUGAUAUUGAUAAAUCUAGUUUAAAUAUAGGAUAAUUAUAUACCAUGUACAUCAAAGUAAACAACGUACGUAUUUUUACUAUUUAUAUUUUUUCACUUGAUGAACUACAAGAGCUAAACGUGAAAAAUUAAUUUGGAAGCAAUGAAACUACUGUGUAUUGUCCUUGUCUACACAAUUAUAAGUAUUUUUGUUCAAAUUAAAUGUACUAUUAAAAGAUAAAAGACAAAA
Molecule: long non-coding RNA, 6391 nt
Organism: Musca domestica (house fly)
Lineage: Eukaryota; Metazoa; Arthropoda; Insecta; Diptera; Muscidae
Exons: 4
Source: RefSeq, a predicted model, not a curated record